CCUACGGGAGGCAGCCGUGGGGAAUAUUGGGCAAUGGGCGCAAGCCUGACCCAGCAACGCCGCGUGAAGGAAGAAGGCUUUCGGGUUGUAAACUUCUUUUCUCAGGGACGAAGCAAGUGACGGUACCUGAGGAAUAAGCCACGGCUAACUCCGUGCCAUCAGCCGCGGUAAUACGUAGGUGGCAAGCGUUAUCCGGAUUUACUGGGUGUAAAGGGCGUGUAGGCGGGACUGCAAGUCAGAUGUGAAAAGCACGGGCUCAACCUGUGGCCUGCAUUUGAAACGGGAGUUCUUGAGUACUGGAGAGGCAGACGGAAUGCCUAGUGUAGCGGUGAAAUGCGUAGAUAGUAGGAGGAACACCAGUGGCGAAGGCGGUCUGCUGGACAGCAACUGACGCUGAGGCGCGAAAGCGUGGGGAGCAAACAGGAUUAGAUACCCUUGUAGUC
Molecule: ribosomal RNA, 443 nt
Filed under: uncultured bacterium
Lineage: Bacteria
Description: partial 16S ribosomal RNA
Rfam family: Bacterial small subunit ribosomal RNA
Source: RNAcentral